This 253-nucleotide ribosomal RNA is filed under the name uncultured bacterium. Its description in RNAcentral is "partial 16S ribosomal RNA". It matches the Rfam family "Bacterial small subunit ribosomal RNA", at positions 524 to 776 of the family's 1533-position model. The record is from RNAcentral.
UACGAAGGGGGCUAGCGUUGCUCGGAAUCACUGGGCGUAAAGGGUGCGUAGGCGGGUUUUUAAGUCAGGGGUGAAAUCCUGGAGCUCAACUCCAGAACUGCCUUUGAUACUGAAGAUCUUGAGUCCGGGAGAGGUGAGUGGAACUGCGAGUGUAGAGGUGAAAUUCGUAGAUAUUCGCAAGAACACCAGUGGCGAAGGCGGCUCACUGGCCCGGUACUGACGCUGAGGCACGGAAGCGUGGGGAGCAAACAGG